RNAcentral lists this ribosomal RNA (368 nucleotides) under uncultured organism. RNAcentral describes it as "bacterial SSU rRNA". It matches the Rfam family "Bacterial small subunit ribosomal RNA", at positions 526 to 896 of the family's 1533-position model. The record is from RNAcentral.
CGUAGGUGGCAAGCGUUGUCCGGAUUUAUUGGGUUUAAAGGGUGCGUAGGCGGUUCCAUAAGUCAGUGGUGAAAUACGGCAGCUCAACUGUCGAGGUGCCAUUGAUACUGCGGAACUUGAGUACUGAUGAGGUAGGCGGAAUUGACGGUGUAGCGGUGAAAUGCUUAGAUAUCGUCAAGAACACCGAUAGCGAAGGCAGCUUACCAAGCAGUAACUGACGCUCAGGCACGAAAGUGCGGGGAUCAAACAGGAUUAGAUACCCUGGUAGUCCGCACAGUAAACGAUGAUUACUCGAUGUUGGCGAUACACAGCCAGCGUCUUAGCGAAAGCGAUAAGUAAUCCACCUGGGGAGUACGCCCGCAAGGGUG